RNAcentral lists this ribosomal RNA (471 nucleotides) under uncultured bacterium. Its description in RNAcentral is "SSU rRNA". It matches the Rfam family "Bacterial small subunit ribosomal RNA", at positions 26 to 521 of the family's 1533-position model. The record is from RNAcentral.
AGAUUGAACGCUGGCGGCAUGCUUUACACAUGCAAGUCGAGCGGCAGCGCGGGGGCAACCCUGGCGGCGAGCGGCGAACGGGUGAGUAAUGCAUCGGAACGUGUCCCGUAAUGGGGGAUAGCCCGGCGAAAGCCGGAUUAAUACCGCAUAUGCUCUACGGAGGAAAGCCGGGGAUUCGCAAGGACCUGGCGUUAUGGGAGCGGCCGAUGUCCGAUUAGCUAGUUGGUGAGGUAAAGGCUCACCAAGGCGACGAUCGGUAGCUGGUCUGAGAGGAUGAUCAGCCACACUGGGACUGAGACACGGCCCAGACUCCUACGGGAGGCAGCAGUGGGGAAUAUUGGACAAUGGCGCAAGCCUGAUCCAGCCAUGCCGCGUGGAUGAUGACGGCCUUAGGGUUGUAAGUCCUUUUAACGGGAGAUAAUGACGGUACCGUAGAAUAAGCCCGGCUAACUUCGCGCCAGCAGCCGCGGU